Molecule: transfer RNA, 68 nt
Filed under: Marmota monax (woodchuck)
Lineage: Eukaryota; Metazoa; Chordata; Mammalia; Rodentia; Sciuridae
Description: tRNA.Ala
Source: RNAcentral
GGAAUGUGGCUCAGUGGUACAGUGCUUGCCUAGCACAUGUGAGGCACUGGGUUCAAUCCUCAGCACCA